AUAUGCCCGUGGAAUGCUGUCUCAUUGAUUUUGGUAAGAAGCGUGCGCUUCUGGCGUGCUUCGACAUCUGUGUUCUCCGGACACUGGCUGGGGGCUCCCCAUUCGACCCGUCUUUAAACACGGACCAAGGAGUUUGACAUGUGUCCGAGUCAACGGGCUAGUAAAUUCGUAAGGCAUAAGGAAUCUGAUUGGUGGGAUCCUCUUGAGGGCUGCACCGCCGACCGACCUUGAUCUUCUGAGAAGGGUUCGAGUGUGAGCAUACCUGUUGGGACCCGAAAGAUGGUGAACUAUGCCUGAGCGGGGAGAAGCCAAAGUAUACUCUAGUGGAGGACCCUUGUGAUACUGACGUGCAAAUCGUUCAUCUGACUUGGGUAUAGGGGCGAAAGACUAAUUGAACCAUCUAGUAGAUAGUUCCCUUCGUAGUUUCCCUCAGAAUAGCUAGAGAUCGGGUGCGAAUUUUAUCGAAUAAAGCCAAUGAUUUGAGGCUUCAUGGGGAAACACCCUGACCUAUUUUCAAACUUUAAUCAGAAGGAUGACGUGACUUCUUUGUUGAGCUGCACCACGGAAUCAAGAACUCCAAGUGGGCCAUUUUUGGUAAGCUGGACUGGCGAUGAGGGAUGAACCGAAAGCCGGCUUAUGGUUCCAAACUACAUUCUAACCAAGAUCCAACAAAGGGUGUUUAUCAAUUAAGACAACAGGAAAGUGGUCAUGGAAGUCAA
Molecule: non-coding RNA, 719 nt
Filed under: Solanum tuberosum (potato)
Lineage: Eukaryota; Viridiplantae; Streptophyta; Magnoliopsida; Solanales; Solanaceae
Description: Eukaryotic large subunit ribosomal RNA
Rfam family: Eukaryotic large subunit ribosomal RNA
Source: Rfam by way of RNAcentral